CAUUUUAUAUUAUUUUUAUAGAGAUAAUAAGACAAAAAUGAAUAGUAAUAUAAAAUGUUAACGUGGCUUAAUCAUAACCAUACAAACAGGAGGGCACGGGAAGUGGGAGGGCAGAGAAUCUACCUCCUUUGCAAAUAGAGGCUGGAACUUAACAUCUAACAAUCUCAAUUGCUUCAAUAUUAGUAGUAAUGAUAAUUUUCUGGAUGAGUUAGAUGCUUUACACUCAAACGAUGAUGGCUGUCUCUCUGAGCUUAGUAAAGCUCUUCUUAACUGUUGACAAAUCUGGACGGAAAGAAUAAUUUAGCUAUCAAGGGUGUGCCACCGAUCCCCACGCUAUGUGCGUCAUUCUCAAUUGUAUACCAGAUGAUGCUCUUCCAACUUUUCAUUUUGAUUGUAUUGGAAACGGUUGUACUAUAGGUUUCGUUCUUUAAUGAAGUUUCUUUCCCAUAAAAUAUUAUUUCAAUCCUGAUACAAAUUAAGCAAAUUCGUCGCUUGGACAUAUUUAAAGCCUACAAUACAAACCAAAUAAAAUAGCUACUGCAGUGAUGGAGGUUAAGCAACUCGACCGGCAUAACGCAUGUUGAAGAUGUCAUCGUGUCGGAAUCGAUCUCAUCAACAUUAAAGUCCAUUUUCAUUUAUAAAAAAUUAUGAAAAUAUUAAUAAUAAUAUUAGUAUUAAUUAGAAAAUUAUUAUUAAAUUUGAACUGACACUUACAGAUAUCUCAUUCAAUAACGUUAUUUUCAUCUCUUCCGACAUUUUUGUCUAGGAGCAUUACUCCAUAGGGCAAUGGGUCCACACUAGCGACCUUAUGCGGUGCACCAGCUUCCUGUGCACCUUCGUCGUACAAGCUGUAUGCCUCAUGGGAUCAUAGUUGAUGCGUAUCUGGUCAUUAAUCAGACGUCUGACCAUACGAGACCCUCUAUUUUUCCUUGCGAAAGAAAAAAAAAUCAAAGCCAAACAUAAAAUUCUACCGAAAAAUGGGUAUAAUCUCCCCUAAAAUUAUAACACUCUCAUAACUUGAUGUUUGGGCCCAAAAUAGUAUUGUUGGGCUGAGUUCAGGUUUGUCCUCGGACCAGGACCCUUCCAAAAGUACUAUGGGCCGUUUGACUGCCAUUAGCCGCCCAAUUAGGUCAGCCGAGUCCUAUUGUAAGAAGGAUUGAUUUGGAUAAGGGCAAAGAAGUCGAGUCCUGGUGCAACAAGAGGACUCAGAGUGGAAGGCCCUGAGAACUUGGGAAUGAAUUUGAUUCGUUAUAGAGCUUGGUUCAGAAACCUAUUAAAACUAGGAUUGGCCAAAUCCUAACCAGAUUAGAUUUGGGAGUUCUAAUCCUAAUAUGUUUCUAGUUCGGCCAUAGGGGUUCUCGCUGCUAUAAAUAAAGGAGGGAGUGGAUCAUUCAAGCUCUCUCCAAUUCAACACAAAAACUGCUUCGCGCAAACUCUUGCUCUACUCGAAACCUCUCAACAACCUUGAGAUUUUUAUUUUUCCUUUUUCACAAACACAUCUUCAGUUUGGAUAAACAGCAUUGUAGUCGUAGAACCAUUUGACCGCGAAGCACCUUCAGUUUGGAUAAAUAGCACUGCUCCGAGACCGACUGGUUACCUAUCCAAGUCUCGGUUAUGAAGGAUUUUCGAGUCCUUAUUGGCAGAGGUCAUCUCAUUAGCCUUCUAGGUGAAGUGAGGUGUUACAGAUUACUGGGCUCGUCGCACUGAAUGUCGAGUUGUUUUAUGAUUGGAUAUUCAUAAGUAAGUUUUAGAGUUCGGCAUUCUGAUGGUCGAACCACAUUUACCAUCAAGACAUACAUCUCUUUUGAGUACUUGUGUCCAUAUAGUUUGGUGCCGGUUCGGUGUGCUUAUACUCUUACGAAUAUAAUCACCAUGACUGAACCCGGUGCCAACGAUCUGUGAACUUUGUAAGACUAGCAGCUUUGUCUUCAGGCUCUAGAACC
Molecule: long non-coding RNA, 1943 nt
Filed under: Malus domestica (apple)
Lineage: Eukaryota; Viridiplantae; Streptophyta; Magnoliopsida; Rosales; Rosaceae
Description: long non-coding RNA (MDOM_LNC000177)
Source: RNAcentral